Paramormyrops kingsleyae is the source of this 422-nucleotide long non-coding RNA. RefSeq lists it as uncharacterized. The record is from RefSeq and is a predicted model, not a curated record. Lineage: Eukaryota; Metazoa; Chordata; Actinopteri; Osteoglossiformes; Mormyridae.
AUUAAAUAACGCGGACAACUAAUUGAACAGAUUAGUUAAAAAUUUCACAACCGAUUGCCAAUUACACACGCCAAAUAAAAGGUGUGUGACUGUGAGUCCGUGGGGGGAAAAAAGAGAUGGCGUCCAAUUCAGGUGAGACGGAGCUUGAGAAAAGUCAGCCGGCGGGCGACACCGACGCUCUGAAGAACGAGCCUGCAGAACUGCUGAAAGAUCUCAAUGGGAGACUUUUCGAACUUCAGGAGAGGAUAGACCUGUGCCACAAGCUGCUGGUGGACCUGAGGGCUCUGCGGGAUGUUAUGGCUGCUAAAAAUGAUGGAAAUGCAACAUAAGCACAUAGAAAGCAGACUCCAGAGAAUAUGCACCCCCCAGCAAGAAGAAACCCUUUGUAUGUUUUCAUAGCAAUAAAAUGUGGGGAAAACUGA